ACCUUCCACCAUCAGAGGAAGCUUCGUGAUGAAUGUAUCUGCAUUCUGACCCUCUUUGGCAUCUGCCCUUAGUGAAAUCAAAACAUCGCUCAGAAGAUUUAUUACCUCUAUUCAGUUCAGGCUUCUCCCAGGGUCUCUGAGAAGGCCUAUCUCGUGAGUAAUCCCUUCGCUCACGUGAAUCUGUAAAGCUUCCCCUACUGUCGUACCCG
RNAcentral lists this unclassified non-coding RNA (209 nucleotides) under Hevea brasiliensis (rubber tree). Lineage: Eukaryota; Viridiplantae; Streptophyta; Magnoliopsida; Malpighiales; Euphorbiaceae. The record is from RNAcentral.